CACGCCGUAAACGAUGGAUACUAGGUGUGGGAGGUAUUGACCCCUUCCGUGCCGGCGUUAACACAAUAAGUAUCCCACCUGGGGAGUACGAUCGCAAGGUUGAAACUCAAAGGAAUUGACGGGGGCCCGCACAAGCAGUGGAGUAUGUGGUUUAAUUCGAAGCAACGCGAAGAACCUUACCAGGUCUUGACAUCCCGAUGACCGGCGUAGAGAUACGUCUUCUCUUCGGAGCAUCGGUGACAGGUGG
Molecule: ribosomal RNA, 247 nt
Filed under: uncultured bacterium
Lineage: Bacteria
Description: partial 16S ribosomal RNA
Rfam family: Bacterial small subunit ribosomal RNA
Source: RNAcentral